AUGGGGCACUGGAGGCUGAGGCUUGUGAAACGGAGGAAGCAAGAUGAAGGGCAGAGAGAAGGCUCCUGCAUAGCUGAGGAGAAUGCCAUGGACAUCAAGCAUGAGAACAGCAACUGCUUUGAGGAGUAUAAGUGGUGUGGGCAGAAGUAGAUACAGGCCACCACUGUCCUGGAAGGUGGCUUCCUAGGCUCUGAUGUUGUCAUGUGCAGUAGCAAGGAGAACCCAGACAGUGAUGCUGACCUGGAUGUGAAUGGAGAGGACACUCUGUAGUACCAGAAGUCACAAUACACAGAUGCUGACAUCCCCUGCAUGUAUGAGAAACCUAGCCCGAUGAAGCCAAGGAAAGAGAAGCACUCCAGGGUGCAGUCCUAAAGCAAGUGUGGGCCAGUGUGACCAUCCCACCACCUGUAACAUGCCUGAGUUUUCCAAGUGGGCUAGUGACAGGAUGCCAUCCACUAGUAAUGGCAAAAGCAGCAAACAGGAGGCCAUGCAAGAGACCUGUAAGGACAGGAACAUUGAGAAAAUCAUCAAAGAUUCCACUGUGACCACACUCAAGGUCCUGAAGGCUCAGAUCAGGGAGCUUGAAUGGCAGCUAUCUCAGGGGGACCAGUACAAAUGCCUCAUCUUCAGGGACUCGUACUCCAUGCCAAUCUGCCUGGAACUUUUCUUUAGGAAGAGAUUAAAUGAUUUUUCAUUUAAGUUUUUUUUCUAUUCUUCAGAGAGAGUUUAG
This is an RNA transcript of Octodon degus (degu), 730 nucleotides long. It is a transcript of the gene named E3 ubiquitin-protein ligase RNF220 pseudogene, with no coding region annotated. The record is from RefSeq and is a predicted model, not a curated record. The transcript has 2 exons. Lineage: Eukaryota; Metazoa; Chordata; Mammalia; Rodentia; Octodontidae.